Molecule: transfer RNA, 72 nt
Filed under: Marmota monax (woodchuck)
Lineage: Eukaryota; Metazoa; Chordata; Mammalia; Rodentia; Sciuridae
Description: tRNA.Undet
Source: RNAcentral
GUGGUGAUAUAGCUCAGUGGUAGAGGGCUUGCCUACAUGCAGGAGACCCUGGGUUCAAUUUCUAGCACUACA